Long non-coding RNA from Oryzias melastigma (Indian medaka), 1102 nucleotides. RefSeq lists it as uncharacterized. The transcript has 2 exons. NCBI's taxonomy places the organism in Eukaryota, Metazoa, Chordata, Actinopteri, Beloniformes, Adrianichthyidae. The record is from RefSeq and is a predicted model, not a curated record.
AUUAUUAAUGCAUUUCUAAAAAAAAAAAAUUGUAUAAAUGUGGAAACUCAAAAUUGAAUUGAAUUGAGUGGAUUGAAAGAAUAUUAAUAAUAAUAAAAAAAAAAAUUGGAAUCAAAUCCAUCCAGGCGAUUGUGAAUCAUAUUGAAUUGUUUCUGGAAAUUAUUAUUGAUACCCAGCCCAAAUUGCAACAACAGUUGAUGAGUUACGGCAGGUGAAAGAAUAAGUAAAGGGUUACAGUCUACUUGAGUAGAUUGAGAAGAAUCUACUGGAACUUCAAGAAAAAAAAAACAAAGCCUGACCAACUUUAUGCUGAAAAUAUCCAGUUCUCUGUGUAGAGGUCAUUUCAAGACCACAUGCAUUUAUAAAGACUGUUAAUAAUAUCUUAAAAAAUCCUUACAAACUGCUUUGUUUCCUAGAAAACAUCACCAGAUCUACAUGCUGCCAUCUUCAUGUUGCAGAAAAAACAAGGAAACCCAAGAGGAUCCACUCAGCCAUGAGAAAUGGGACAAGAAGACAAAUAAGAAAAUCCAGCUAACAGACAAAACUGACUCAAAACAAGAAGACGGAUGGAACGUUUUGUAGAGGCUGGCUGGAUUUCCUGGAGCAGCAAAGCGGCAGAAGUUGCCAGCUCUACACAUUGCAGGAACACUUGUUAUAAGUUCCAUCUGUGUGGUUGUGAAACUCCUAUUUGCUUUAAAGGAUGAGCCCUAAUGCUGCUGCUUCUUCACCAAUGGCAACCGUUUUAAGCCUAAAGUGAAGGCACCUUGAUGCAGCAAAAACAGUUUUAAAGCCAUGCAAUACUACGAGUCCAGCGAAGGGGAACAUGGUCAAUCAAGGCUCUGUGGUGUUUGGUUGUUUCGAGUGUGGUAUGCAUCUGAAUUGAUCAAUUGUUUCAUCAAAAAAGAAGACUACACUAUAACAGAUUACUGUAAACUGGACAAUAUUUUAGUGCAAUAACAAUAGUAAAAUACUGCACAAAGACUUUGCAGUAUUUUACUGUAAACAUAGUUGAACUGUAGGAAUUCACUGUAAGAUGCAAUGAAUUGUGGGAGUUUACUGUAAAAUGCAAUAAAUUGUGGCAAUUUACUGUAAAAAAAAAAAA